UACGUAGGGGGCAAGCGUUGUCCGGAAUCAUUGGGCGUAAAGAGCGUGUAGGCGGCUCGGUAAGUCCGCUGUGAAAGUCCAGGGCUCAACCCUGGAAUGCCGGUGGAAACUGUCGAGCUAGAGUCCGGAAGAGGCGAGUGGAAUUCCUGGUGUAGCGGUGAAAUGCGCAGAUAUCAGGAGGAACACCAAUGGCGAAGGCAGCACUCUGGGACGUGACUGACGCUGAGACGCGAAAGCGUGGGGAGCAAACAGG
RNAcentral lists this ribosomal RNA (253 nucleotides) under uncultured bacterium. RNAcentral's name for it is "partial 16S ribosomal RNA". It matches the Rfam family "Bacterial small subunit ribosomal RNA", at positions 524 to 776 of the family's 1533-position model. The record is from RNAcentral.